RNAcentral lists this ribosomal RNA (495 nucleotides) under uncultured bacterium. RNAcentral's name for it is "partial 16S ribosomal RNA". It matches the Rfam family "Bacterial small subunit ribosomal RNA", at positions 28 to 507 of the family's 1533-position model. The record is from RNAcentral.
GACGAACGCUGGCGGCGUGCCUAAUACAUGCAAGUAGAACGCUGAAGGAGGAGCUUGCUUCUCUGGAUGAGUUGCGAACGGGUGAGUAACGCGUAGGUAACCUGCCUGGUAGCGGGGGAUAACUAUUGGAAACGAUAGCUAAUACCGCAUAAGAGUAGAUGUUGCAUGACAUUUGCUUAAAAGGUGCAAUUGCAUCACUACCAGAUGGACCUGCGUUGUAUUAGCUAGUUGGUGGGGUAACGGCUUACCAAGGCGACGAUACAUAGCCGACCUGAGAGGGCGAUCGGCCACACUGGGACUGAGACACGGCCCAGACUCCUACGGGAGGCAGCAGUAGGGAAUCUUCGGCAAUGGACGGAAGUCUGACCGAGCAACGCCGCGUGAGUGAAGAAGGGUUUCGGAUCGUAAAGCUCUGUUGUAAGAGAAGAACGAGUGUGAGAGUGGAAAGUUCACACUGUGACGGUAUCUUACCAGAAAGGGACGGCUAACUACGUG